CAGUGGAAAUCACAGUUCAUGUCGAGGUCCACGAACUGCCAAACACCCUGCAUACUAGAUGGUUCUUUUGGAGAAGGAAUAGCUGCUUCAGAACUACUCAACAUGAAAACAACAGCUAACAUGGAGGGUCUGUCCAUAGCAUCUUCUUGCACACACAAGAGCCCGAUUUGAAUGCAUUUCAAGACUUCUUGAGGGUGAUAUAACUCCUGCAAUGAUGAAUCAACUAUCUCCAAUGCUCUCUCUUCUCUCCAUAGCUCCCACACCUGUGUGGUUCAUAGCAUUAACAAACAAGAGGAGAUGAUAGUCAACAUCAAAUUGUAUCUAUUGUAGUCAGUACUGCUAGAAGUCUCUUACAUGCCCUAUCAAGGUCAAGGAAGAAUCCUGUAGAUUAUAUCUGUUGUUCCUCUUGCCACUUACAAUCUCUAAUAACAUAACCCCGAAACUAAACACAUCUGAUUUCACCGAAAUUUUGCCAAACGCAGCAUACUCUGGUGACAUGUAUCCACUGCAAAGGAAAAAUAGGCAGAUAGUCCUUGAUGUUAACUAAAUUUUAUACUCAUCAUUCAUGAAUAUUAUGUCAAUCUCUCUUUUCAGA
Populus nigra (black poplar) is the source of this 595-nucleotide long non-coding RNA. RefSeq lists it as uncharacterized. NCBI's taxonomy places the organism in Eukaryota, Viridiplantae, Streptophyta, Magnoliopsida, Malpighiales, Salicaceae. The record is from RefSeq and is a predicted model, not a curated record. The transcript is spliced from 2 exons.